Molecule: ribosomal RNA, 322 nt
Filed under: uncultured Sandonidae
Lineage: Eukaryota; Cercozoa; Glissomonadida; Viridiraptoridae
Description: SSU rRNA
Rfam family: Eukaryotic small subunit ribosomal RNA
Source: RNAcentral
GAUUUCUGGUUUGAUACAUUUUGCCGGCCACGGUUUCGUGUGUUAGUGCUUGAUGUUCUGGCCAUCCUUCCAAUCGCUAUCGGCUUAUCUUCAUUGAUCGGUCGGUGGUAUUGGAUCUUUUACUUUGAAAAAAUUAGAGUGUUUCAAGCAGGCUUUAUGCUAUGAAUACAUUAGCAUGGAAUAAUAAUUUAGGACUUCGGUUCUAUUUUGUUGGUUUCUAGGACUGAAGUAAUGAUUGAUAGGGAUAGUUGGGGGUGCUAGUAUUCAGCGGCCAGAGGUGAAAUUCUCGGAUUCGCUGAAGACUAACUUAUGCGAAAGCAUU